RNAcentral lists this unclassified non-coding RNA (200 nucleotides) under soil metagenome. Its description in RNAcentral is "partial contains internal transcribed spacer 2 and large subunit ribosomal RNA". The record is from RNAcentral.
GGUCUCACGACCGGUGUGGUGGACUUGGAUUUGGGCGUUGCCGGUCACGGCUCGCCUUAAAGAUGUCAGUGGGAAGGGUUCCCUCGGCUAGACGUAAUAAGUUUCGUCCGACCGUGGUCGCUCAUGCCCGCUUCCAACCCGCCCUCGGGCACUACUUUGUCAUGGACCUCAAAUCAGGUAGGACUACCCGCUGAACUUAA